AGCAGCCGCGGUAAUUCCAGCUCCAAUAGCGUAUAUUAAAGUUGUUGCAGUUAAAAAGCUCGUAGUUGAAUUUCGGGAUUGACGUGAUGGUCGUGCCUUAAGGGGUAUGAACUGUCGCUGUUGAUUUCUCACCUUCUGGAGAAACUUGAUGUCCUUAAUUGGGUGUCUUGCGGAUCCAGGACCUUUACCUUGAAAAAAUUAGAGUGUUUAAAGCAGGCAUUUUGCUCGAAUACAUUAGCAUGGAAUAAUAGAAUAGGACGGCAUGGUUCUAUUUUGUUGGUUUCUAAGAUCACCGUAAUGAUUAAUAGGGAUAGUUGGGGGCAUUAGUAUUCAAUUGUCAGAGGUGAAAUUCUUGGAUUUAUUGAAGACUAACUACUGCGAAAGCAUUUGCCAAGGAUGUUUUCAUUAAUCAAGAACGAAAGUUAGGGGAUCGAAGACGAUCAGAUACCGUCGUAGUCUUAACCAUAAACCUAUGCCGACUAGGAAUCAGACGAUGUUAAUUUUUAAUGUACUCG
This 515-nucleotide ribosomal RNA is filed under the name uncultured Entrophospora. RNAcentral describes it as "SSU rRNA". It matches the Rfam family "Eukaryotic small subunit ribosomal RNA", at positions 569 to 1078 of the family's 1831-position model. The record is from RNAcentral. Lineage: Eukaryota; Fungi; Glomeromycota; Glomeromycetes; Entrophosporales; Entrophosporaceae.